RNAcentral lists this ribosomal RNA (555 nucleotides) under Chryseobacterium sediminis. Its description in RNAcentral is "bacterial SSU rRNA". It matches the Rfam family "Bacterial small subunit ribosomal RNA", at positions 94 to 648 of the family's 1533-position model. The record is from RNAcentral. Lineage: Bacteria; Pseudomonadati; Bacteroidota; Flavobacteriia; Flavobacteriales; Weeksellaceae.
AGCGGCGUACGGGUGCGGAACACGUGUGCAACCUGCCUUUAUCUGGGGGAUAGCCUUUCGAAAGGAAGAUUAAUACCCCAUAAUAUAUUUGUCGGCAUCGAUGGAUAUUGAAAACUCCGGUGGAUAGAGAUGGGCACGCGCAAGAUUAGAUAGUUGGUGAGGUAACGGCUCACCAAGUCUACGAUCUUUAGGGGGCCUGAGAGGGUGAUCCCCCACACUGGUACUGAGACACGGACCAGACUCCUACGGGAGGCAGCAGUGAGGAAUAUUGGACAAUGGGUGAGAGCCUGAUCCAGCCAUCCCGCGUGAAGGACGACGGCCCUAUGGGUUGUAAACUUCUUUUGUAUAGGGAUAAACCUACCCUCGUGAGGGUAGCUGAAGGUACUAUACGAAUAAGCACCGGCUAACUCCGUGCCAGCAGCCGCGGUAAUACGGAGGGUGCAAGCGUUAUCCGGAUUUAUUGGGUUUAAAGGGUCCGUAGGCGGAUCUGUAAGUCAGUGGUGAAAUCUCACAGCUUAACUGUGAAACUGCCAUUGAUACUGCAGGUCUUGAGUG